RNAcentral lists this long non-coding RNA (809 nucleotides) under Elaeis guineensis (African oil palm). RNAcentral describes it as "long non-coding RNA (EGUI_LNC018228)". The record is from RNAcentral. Lineage: Eukaryota; Viridiplantae; Streptophyta; Magnoliopsida; Arecales; Arecaceae.
ACGACACUAAAUCAAAGAAUACACAAUCAAGAACAUGAUCUCAUGACCACAGUGAUAAAAUAGAACAAGAGGAUUGCUGGAAAAACUUUACGCUGUGAUAAUUGACCUUCACAACUGCUGUUACUAGCACAACUUUAAGCUACUUGAAAGCAUGAUGUGUGGCCGGCUUUGAAGCCGAAACCUUUUAGGCACUGCUCAACUUUACGUCUUCUAAGGACCUACAAUACUUGGACAUAAAAUCUGACGCAUGAAGUGAUUAGAAAACCUGUUGUGGGACAUCGCUAUGCAUCAUAUGUCUUGGCUGAACAAGUUUUGGGGCUUACAGAUCUGCGAGUUCUUUUCUAGUCUUGUUUAUAAUCUUGGGUUGUUGCGCACGUGCCUUGCUGCAUGCUUCUGUCCUAACCAUGCAUCCUUGGAAAUCAAGAUGAGUAUUUAAAGCUGGCGAUUUUGUUUAUCCUUGAAAAUAUUCUAAUAUUGCAUCGAUGAUGGAUUUUGCUGCUAGUAAGAUAAGGACUUUGCGGUUGCUUGUUCCAUGGAUUUUGCUGCUAGAAGAUGAGAACUUUGCGAUUGCUUGCUCCACUACGUGGUUUGGGAAAGCUGCAUCCUUCCAAGACAUGAAGUAAGAUGGUAGAAGUCGGCCAUGUGGAAUUGAGUGGCCAAAUAGCCAUUGAUACAGUGGUCAAAUAAUCUUACAAGAUAUAUAUUUUUUUUAUUUUUUUUUUAGUUGCAUAAAGUUUUCAUUAUUCAAGGUGUUAAAUAAAAUCAAAAGUAUUUGUUUAAUUACGAUGGUUUUGUAAGGUUAAACAUGG